RNAcentral lists this transfer RNA (75 nucleotides) under Trichomalopsis sarcophagae. Its description in RNAcentral is "tRNA-OTHER". The stretch from base 10 to 67 matches the Rfam family "tRNA", at positions 8 to 63 of the family's 71-position model. Rfam says of the family: Transfer RNA (tRNA) molecules are approximately 80 nucleotides in length. Their secondary structure includes four short double-helical elements and three loops (D, anti-codon, and T loops). Further hydrogen bonds mediate the characteristic L-shaped molecular structure. tRNAs have two regions of fundamental functional importance: the anti-codon, which is responsible for specific mRNA codon recognition, and the 3' end, to which the tRNAs corresponding amino acid is attached (by aminoacyl-tRNA synthetases). tRNAs cope with the degeneracy of the genetic code in two manners: having more than one tRNA (with a specific anti-codon) for a particular amino acid; and 'wobble' base-pairing, i.e. permitting non-standard base-pairing at the 3rd anti-codon position. The record is from RNAcentral. Lineage: Eukaryota; Metazoa; Arthropoda; Insecta; Hymenoptera; Pteromalidae.
GAAGAGUUGUGGCUCAGAGGGUAGAGCUUCGGACUUCUGAUCCAAAGAUCGUGGGUUCGAGCCCUACACCUGGCG